Pseudophryne corroboree (corroboree frog) is the source of this 963-nucleotide long non-coding RNA. RefSeq lists it as uncharacterized. The record is from RefSeq and is a predicted model, not a curated record. NCBI's taxonomy places the organism in Eukaryota, Metazoa, Chordata, Amphibia, Anura, Myobatrachidae. The transcript has 5 exons.
GCCUCAGUGCAUCAUGGGAAGAGGAGGGAGGACUGGGAGCUGUGUUACCUUGGUAACCCCGGGGCCUGCUGGGAAACCAGACCAGGCUAGGAGAAAUAUGUGAAUAUCUCUAUUAUUUACAUGUAUGCUUUUGGUGAUUCUGUGAUAUAUUUACAGUAUUACUGCACUAUGAGUUCACAGAACAUCAUCCUGUGUGCAGUAGAGGAAUACAAUGAAGAUGCCACCUGUCGGGAUCCCAACACCAUUCAGAAUCCCGACAUCAGAACUCCUAAUGAGCCAGGAGACCAACGCUGCCAUCCAGAUAUACGGAAUCCCUAACGCAGAGCACGGCCACUAUUUCCCUUAGAGACCAAGCACUGCUAUCACUAUAAGGCUGCAGUCUACAAGGAGUCUCCUGCCACAGGCUGACAUCCCAUCUACAAUCCUUCCAAAGAGCUCAUCUUACACACAAUGUCAUACUGUAUGGCUCAAGUGGACAUACAUAUCUUUACUGGAUGUGGACAAGGCCAUUUAGCUAGGAUUCCAUUUCAGCUUUUACUUACUGCGUUUGAUACUCACAAUCAAGAUGAGGGGUGUGUGGAUGACGUCUUGGAGGUGUGUCCAAAAUUUGGAGUGGGGGGACAGAACAUACGGACGAUAAUCUUCGUGGCGGGGUAGCCUGCUGUGGUUGGCCCGGGACAUACGACCUUACUUUCUUUUCGGCCACGUUUUUUGUGGUGAUGUCUUACAGAAGUGCUACUUCUGCUGCUCCAUACUUCUUUUGUUGGACCUUUUAAUGAAAGUGCAAUUUUUUUAUGGCCAUUCCUUUACAAACAUACCCUAUACUACAAUGGACACUUUACCUGCUUCCGCAGCGUCAUCAUCAUCAGAUGUGAUAGGAGUUACUGGCCGACGAGUAGUACUGCUUUUUUCAAACACUGUAUAAAAUAAAAAAUAAAAAAUUAUUCAUGCUAUUGUGGAUAC